CACAGCCUCCCGGCGUUCCUUGCAGAUAUGGAUGCAGAGAGGGAGGCCCUGCAGUCUGCCGCCUGCCCACAAGUGCAGACCUUCUGCCAAAAGCACGGCCUGACAUUCGAGGUUGUUGAUCUGAGGUGGGGAAUUCAGAACUCGGAGGCCACUGACCACAUGACCACCGAAAUCUGCUUGGAAGAGCUGGACCGGUGUCGCAAGACGUCCAUCGGGCCAGCUUUUGUUGCCCUUAUAGGUGACCAGUAUGGCCCCUGUCCGGUCCCCUCCGUGAUCGAGGAGAAGGAGUGGGAGGCUCUGAGGGCCCAGCUGAGCGCCAGGCCACGUGACCUGGAGCUGGUGGCACGACGCUUCCGGAGAGACGAGAACUCAGUUCCUCCUACCUACGUCCUGCAGGCGACAGGUGGCAGGGAGGCUCCUGGGCCUGAGGAGGCCACUCUGACCUCUGUCCUUCGCUCUGGAGCUCAGGAGGCCUGGAGGCGGGGCCUCAUCAGCCAGGAGCAGUGGCACCGCCACCACCGGUCAGGCAUGGUCUCUCGGAGGCGGAGCUGAAAGACGUCUUGUCCUUGGACGAUGAGGUGCUGCAGGUGGUGUACCGGGACUGGACCCCCCCCAGCAAGGAGCUGCUGCGCUUCCCGCCCCUGCUGUGGGUGCGGCUUCG
RNAcentral lists this long non-coding RNA (661 nucleotides) under Ictidomys tridecemlineatus (thirteen-lined ground squirrel). RNAcentral's name for it is "lncRNA (ENSSTOG00000033874.1)". Lineage: Eukaryota; Metazoa; Chordata; Mammalia; Rodentia; Sciuridae. The record is from RNAcentral.